UGACACAGCCCCAAUAUGUCAUUUGUCUUCCCAUUGACAGCCAGGGUUGAUUCAGCUGAUCUGGCUGGCUAGAUGGGUGGCUCCUUCCUCCCCCACUGCUCCAUGUGCGUCCUUCCCAAAGCUGUGUGCUCAGUGAAAGAGGAAGACCUUUCCCAGAGUAGAGCUGGGACUGAACUUCAGUCAGGGUAUAUGAGUAACUGAGCUCCCCUGCUAGGACCUCCAAACUAGUUCACAGGGUCUAAGGUAUGGGUGCUCUAAGCAGCUCUAGACUUCAGUCCA
RNAcentral lists this small nuclear RNA (279 nucleotides) under Erinaceus europaeus (western European hedgehog). RNAcentral describes it as "7SK RNA (ENSEEUG00000021488.1)". It matches the Rfam family "7SK RNA", at positions 6 to 291 of the family's 331-position model. From Rfam's summary of the family: 7SK was discovered as an abundant small nuclear RNA in the mid-70s but a possible function has only recently been suggested. Two independent studies have found that 7SK RNA binds the CDK9/cyclin T complex (known as elongation factor P-TEFb). Lineage: Eukaryota; Metazoa; Chordata; Mammalia; Eulipotyphla; Erinaceidae. The record is from RNAcentral.